Molecule: ribosomal RNA, 333 nt
Filed under: uncultured bacterium
Lineage: Bacteria
Description: partial 16S ribosomal RNA
Rfam family: Bacterial small subunit ribosomal RNA
Source: RNAcentral
CCUACGGGGGGCAGCAGUAGGGAAUAUUGCUCAAUGGGGGAAACCCUGAAGCAGCAACGCCGCGUGGAGGAUGAAGGUUUUCGGAUUGUAAACUCCUUUUGUUAGAGAAGAUAAUGACGGUAUCUAACGAAUAAGCACCGGCUAACUCCGUGCCAGCAGCCGCGGUAAUACGGAGGGUGCAAGCGUUACUCGGAAUCACUGGGCGAAAAGAGCGCGGAGGCGGGAUAGCAAGUCAGAUGUAAAAUCCUAUGGCUUAACCAUAAAACGGAAUUGGAAACUGUUAUUCUAGAGUAUGGGAGAGGUGGUGGGAUUCUUUGUGGUAGGGGUAAAUUC